RNAcentral lists this ribosomal RNA (116 nucleotides) under Kiritimatiellia bacterium. Lineage: Bacteria; Pseudomonadati; Kiritimatiellota; Kiritimatiellia. The record is from RNAcentral.
GCCGGUGGCCAUAGAGGAGUUGUCACACCUGUUCCCAUUCCGAACACAGAAGUUAAGGGCUCCAUCGCCGAGGGUAGUGCGGGACUCGCCCGUGCGAGAGUAGGACGCUGCCGGCU